This 508-nucleotide ribosomal RNA is filed under the name uncultured bacterium. RNAcentral's name for it is "partial 16S ribosomal RNA". It matches the Rfam family "Bacterial small subunit ribosomal RNA", at positions 28 to 507 of the family's 1533-position model. The record is from RNAcentral.
GACGAACGCUGGCGGCGUGCUUAACACAUGCAAGUCGAACGGGAUAAUUUGAGAUCUUGCUCUUAGAGAAUCUAGUGGCAAACGGGUGAUUCACACGUACACAACCUGCCGACAGGAUUGGGACAACAUUCCGAAAGGAAUGCUCAUACCGAAUGAAGCGGAGGAGGGGCAUCUCUCCUCCGUGAAACAUUGCCUCUGUAUAUGCUCUCUCCUUUCGAUGGUUCUGCGUCUGAUUAGGUAGUUGGUGAGGUAACGGCUCACCAAGGCGACGAUCAGUAGCAGGUGUGAGAGGAUGAAGAGCAGCAAUGGGACGGAGACAAGGCGGAGAAUACUACGGGAGGCAGCAGUGGGGAAUCUUCCGCAAUUGGGGCAAGCCUGAAGGAGGAACGCCGCGUGAGUGAAGAAGGUCGUCGGAUCGGAAAGCUAUGUUGACGGGGAAGGAAGUGCGAAGGGUGAAUAAGGCUGGGGAAUGACGGUACCUGAAGAAGAAGCAACGGCUAACUACGUG